UAACUGAGAAGCGAAUGUUGCAUUUAGUUUCGGCCUAAACUUCGGCGGUACCUGCCGCCCUCAGUUAAC
This 69-nucleotide transfer RNA is filed under the name Bitias brevis. RNAcentral's name for it is "tRNA-Arg". Lineage: Eukaryota; Metazoa; Arthropoda; Malacostraca; Decapoda; Pandalidae. The record is from RNAcentral.